Long non-coding RNA from Bombus terrestris (buff-tailed bumblebee), 1707 nucleotides. RefSeq lists it as uncharacterized. The transcript has 4 exons. The record is from RefSeq and is a predicted model, not a curated record. Lineage: Eukaryota; Metazoa; Arthropoda; Insecta; Hymenoptera; Apidae.
CAUUGCGACAAGUAGCUCGAUUUUAGAUUUGAAUUAUUCACGAUACUUAUAAAUCGAAUGAUCAAUCGAGUAAAUCGAACCAAUCGAUUAAAUGAUAUAAUCGAUUAAUCUACGUAUUUCUACGUAUCGAUAUAAGUUACGAAUUUGCUUCAUAAUUCUAACUCGGUUUGAAAUAAUGUUGUAAUGUUUGUAAUAUGUAUAAUAAUCUGUUGAAACUUCGUACAGCACAAUUAUCACGAUCGCGUCGAGUUGAAUAAUUUUCACGAGCGAUGGAUUGUCGAGAAAUUACGUCUUUAUUCUCCGAGCGACAUAUUGGCACUGGCGAGAAAACAAAUGGGGAUAAAUGAUCAUCACUAUAAGUAACUAUGUAAAUGAAAGAUGCACGUGCCGAUUCUGUAAAAUCGCUACUCUGAAAUGAUCACUGUGUUCUAUACAUUGAGUGAAAAGAAAUAAAGGAACCGACUGCUUUAUCCGGAAUCUAUGAUCAUAGUGGCGAGAAGGAAAGGGUAAGAAUUACCGUGCUACAAUGGCAGUUUUGCCAACCCUCGCGCUACCGAGCAUAACCAAACGGUAGCAAUUGCGCGGGGGUGGUUUACAGGCAUCCUCCUGCGAGGACGUAGACGCUGGACUAGGGCUGACUGGGAUCGGAAGGAUGCCAUCCUCCGAGCCUGAGGGCCCCUCCAAUUCGGGGCCCGCCUGUGCUCCCCUUCGACCUCGAUUGAUUCGUUGCUCAGCCUCCUCUGGUGCACUUCCGCUUCUGCACAGCCUCUGCGCGCAGCACACGAAUCGGCCGCACGCCUCCAGCUGAAAUAAAAUGUUCUAGGUUGUAUACAGAAAGAAGAAGGAUCGAUAUUUGCAUUAAAUUCGAGCGAAUACUUUUCUUGCGUUAAAACACACGUGUCGAGAAGUAAACACGUUUUGGUAGGUUCGCAAACAUUCCGCUGUUAAAUCAAUGAUUUUUUCAAAUACCACAUUCAAAUAUCACAUCCUCUCCCUUAUGUGAAAUUUCUCCACGCACAGUAAAAAUAUCGCCGGAUAUGAAUAUUUAAUUCGAUCGUUCAUUAUUUCUACGUAAAAUUCAUUGGAAAAUCGAGAAUAUGAAGAUAACACGAGACGAAGUUUUAUUCAAUAAUCAGUUCUUUUACCGUCAUUGUACAAACGUGACGGGCGUAAAAUUGUUUCAAAUUAAUACAACUAAUCAGUUAUUUCUUCCUUGUUUCAUCAAAACGAAAACAAAAAUUUAUACAAUUUUUUCUUGCGUACGGGUAUAACAUUUCAAGAAAAUUAAAGAUUGAGUUACAAAACGGUUAUCGCAAGAAAACGAAAUAAAAUUUCUUUUUAUCAAAAUAUAUUUUGUCUAAUCAGUAAGUUUUGUGGAAAUAUCGACAAGAUCGUAUUUCGCGUGUACCGAAAGUGUCGAAUUCUCGUAGAAGACGUCAACACCGAUGGACAAAUGUUAAUACGAAACGUGAUACGGUUUCUUUUACUGAACAUGAUACGAUGGAAUCGGGGAUCCGGAAUGUCGAGGCAAAUUCGUGUCGUGUAUUCUCUUUAGAUUUGACGUGACAAAUUUUUAUGUGUUACCUGUACGCAAUUGAGCAUGCGUAACCGAAGUUAUGUUUCGCUACUAUGUACCGGAAAGUUUGUUAAAUUUCACACAACGCUAUUUGAGUCUCCAGUUGAAUAAAAUGACACACAUUUAUUUUC